UUUUUAGCUCACCUGGCCCAAAGGGCCAAGUGAGCUUUUCCCAUCACUUGGCGUCCGUCGUCCGUCGUCCGUCGUCUGUCGUCCGUCGUCGUCCGGCGUCGUUAACUUUUACAAAAAUCUUCUCCUCUGAAACUACUGUGCCAAAUUACACCAAACUUGGCCACAAUCAUCAUUGGGGUAUCUAGUUUAAAAAAUGUGUCCGGUGACCCGGCCAACCAUCCAAGAUGGCCGCCAUGGCUAAAAAUAGAACAUAGGGGUAAAAUGCAGUUUUUGGCUUAUAACUCAAAAACCAAAGCAUUUAGAGCAAAUC
This 310-nucleotide long non-coding RNA is filed under the name Mytilus galloprovincialis (Mediterranean mussel). The record is from RNAcentral. Lineage: Eukaryota; Metazoa; Mollusca; Bivalvia; Mytilida; Mytilidae.